This 1528-nucleotide long non-coding RNA is filed under the name Callithrix jacchus (white-tufted-ear marmoset). RNAcentral's name for it is "lncRNA (ENSCJAG00000083119.1)". The record is from RNAcentral. Lineage: Eukaryota; Metazoa; Chordata; Mammalia; Primates; Cebidae.
UCAUGAUGUUAGAAAUUUCUGGGAUUCAGUUUCCUGAAAUGAAAUGGUUCAUGAAUGCCAUUAAAGUGCUUCUGGGAGCUGAACCUGCCUUUGAAUGGAGCCUUUUCCUGUGGAAACAUGGGUGCCCAUGCACUAGUAUGCAGAAAACAUUGAGAAGAUUCCCACAGAAGACAGUGCAAACCACUGUGGUCUGAGUCAUCCAUUUCCCAGCUGCUUCAGACAGAUGGGAUCUAAUUAAACUUAAGAGCUUCUGCACAGUGAAAGAAACAAUCAUUAGAGUGAACCGGCAACCAACAGAAUGGGUAAAACAUUUUUGCAAGCUAUCAAUCUGACAAAGGGCUAAUAUCCAGAAUCUACAAAGAACUAAAACAGAUUUUCAAGAAAAAAACAAACAACUCCAUCAAAAAUUGGGCAAAGGAUAUGAACAGGCACUUUUCAAAAGAAGACAUUGAUGCAGCCAACAAACAUGAGAAAAUGCUCAUUAUCACUGGUCAUUAGGGAAAUGCAAAUCAAAACCACACUGAGAUACCAUCUCAUGCCAGUUAGAAAUGCAUUCAUUCGGGUGGAUCAUGAGGUCAAAAGAUCGAGAUCAUCCUGGUCAACAUGGUGAAACCCUGUCUUUACUAAAAAUACAAAAAAUUAGCUGGGCAUGGUGGCACGUGCCUGUAAUCCCAGCUACUCAGGAGGCUGAGGCAGGAGAAUUGCCUGAACCCAGGAGGCGGAGGUUGCCAUGAGCCGAUAUCGUGCCAUUGCACUCCAGCCUGGGUAACAAGAGUGAAACUCUUGUCUAAAAAAAAAAAAAAAAAUGCAUUCAUUAAAAAUAUCUGGAGACAACAGGUGCUGGAGAGGAUGUGGAAAAACAGGAACACUUUUACACUGUUGGUUGGAGUGUAAAUCAGUGCAACCAUUGUGGAAGGCAGAGUGGUGAUUCCUCAAGGAUCUAGAAAUAGAAAUACCAUUUGACCCAGCAAUCCCAUUACUGGGUAUAUACCCAAAGGAUUAUAAAUUGUUCUAUUGUAAAGACACAUGGAUACAUAUGUUCAUUGCAGCACUGUUUACAAUAACAAAGACUUGGAACCAACCCAAAUGCUCAUCAAGGAUAGACUGGAUAAAGAAAAUGUGGCAUAUUUAUACCAUGGAAUACUAUGCAGCCAUAAAGAAAGAUGAGUUCAUGUCCUUUGCAGAGACAUAGAUGAAUCUGGAAACCACCAUUCUCAGCAAACUGACAAAAGAACAGAAAACCAAACACUGCUUGAGUCCUGUAGCUCAAUACCAGCCUGUGCAACAUAGUGAAACCCCCAUCUCUGCAGAAUAACAACAAAACAAUUAGCCUGGUGUGGUGAUACAUGGCUGUGGUCCCAGCUACUUGGGAAGCUGAGGUGGGAAUAUUGCCUAAGCCUGGGAGGUUGAGGUGGCAGUGAGCUGUGUUUGCACCAUAGCACUCCAGUCUGGGUGACACAGUAUGACCUUGUUCCUCCCAAACGUAAAUAAAUAAAAAACUAAAAAAAUAGAAUAAACGUGGCAUCAG